This 460-nucleotide ribosomal RNA is filed under the name uncultured bacterium. RNAcentral's name for it is "partial 16S ribosomal RNA". It matches the Rfam family "Bacterial small subunit ribosomal RNA", at positions 338 to 795 of the family's 1533-position model. The record is from RNAcentral.
CCUACGGGAUGCUGCAGUGAGGAAUAUUGGUCAAUGGACGAGAGUCUGAACCAGCCAAGUAGCGUGAAGGAUGACUGCCCUAUGGGUUGUAAACUUCUUUUAUAUGGGAAUAAAAUGUUCCACGUGUGGGAUUUUGUAUGUACCAUAUGAAUAAGGAUCGGCUAACUCCGUGCCAGCAGCCGCGGUAAUACGGAGGAUCCGAGCGUUAUCCGGAUUUAUUGGGUUUAAAGGGAGCGUAGGUGGAUUGUUAAGUCAGUUGUGAAAGUUUGCGGCUCAACCGUAAAAUUGCAGUUGAAACUGGCAGUCUUGAGUACAGUAGAGGUGGGCGGAAUUCGUGGUGUAGCGGUGAAAUGCUUAGAUAUCACGAAGAACUCCGAUUGCGAAGGCAGUUCACUGGACUGCAACUGACACUGAGGCUCGAAAGUGUGGGUAUCAAACAGGAUUAGAUACCCUUGUAGUC